RNAcentral lists this small nuclear RNA (167 nucleotides) under Tupaia belangeri chinensis (Chinese tree shrew). RNAcentral describes it as "Tupaia chinensis (Chinese tree shrew) U2 spliceosomal RNA". It matches the Rfam family "U2 spliceosomal RNA". From Rfam's summary of the family: U2 is a small nuclear RNA (snRNA) component of the spliceosome (involved in pre-mRNA splicing). Complementary binding between U2 snRNA (in an area lying towards the 5' end but 3' to hairpin I) and the branchpoint sequence (BPS) of the intron results the bulging out of an unpaired adenosine, on the BPS, which initiates a nucleophilic attack at the intronic 5' splice site, thus starting the first of two transesterification reactions that mediate splicing. The record is from Rfam by way of RNAcentral. Lineage: Eukaryota; Metazoa; Chordata; Mammalia; Scandentia; Tupaiidae.
AUCUCUUCUCGGCCUUUUGGCUAAGAUCAAGUGUAGAAAUCGGAUGGUGUCAUCCCCACCCUAACUGCCUCACUGACUUCCCUAUGCACUUUAUUAUUUUUGGAGAGGUUUUUGCUAUAGGGUGCGUGCGCUCGCCAAAAAGACAGAGAGAGACAGAGAGACAAAAA